Molecule: long non-coding RNA, 3302 nt
Organism: Dinoponera quadriceps
Lineage: Eukaryota; Metazoa; Arthropoda; Insecta; Hymenoptera; Formicidae
Exons: 2
Source: RefSeq, a predicted model, not a curated record
GCGUCCCUUUCGACGUUUCGACUAAAACAGUUUGCCGGGGAGAGUGUAGAACUGCCGCCGCUGUCGUAGUAAUCGAAACGACGGCCUCCUCCUCGCCGGCCUCCGUCACGAUGCCGAUUAGCUCGACGAUCCUCGUCGCGGCCACCACGAUCUUCGUCCUCCUCACCGCGAUACCACGUGUUUGCAGAACGCAUAAAGGAAGGAAAUGUACUUGAUUGAAAUAUUGUGCAUGUGAACGUGCAGGUGACACACCACACAUGAUUCGAAAACGAGACUGUGAGAGUUCACUUAUUGGAAGUUUGAAGGAGUCAAACGAGUCGAACGCAGACGGAGAUUGGUAAUAAUCAGCCAUCGGCCGAAACUUUUUCACCACUUGUCAUGGUAUCGCAAUGAUGGCUCCCUGUUCGGGAAAUUGUUGGGAGUACGUCGUUAUCGUUAUUCGCGGUGGAGUUUUCGUGCCGCGAUAUCGGAAGCACGUGGAUACCGAAAAUAACUGUCCGACAUAUUCAAGAAUGCACAUAUGUUCCUACAUAUCAGUGUACAGCGCGCUACAAAAUUUCCGCCUUCCUCCGUUUCCUUUUCGGAUAUUCAAAUGACUUCUCUUUUAUUAUGUUUUAUCGCAAAUUUCCACUUCCGUCUCGACAUUAAGGGGAUAUGUACGAUCGAAUGUCUAACGAAAACAUUUAACGAUGCAAUUUAUGUACAUCUAUUUACGUGCGGACAAAUAAUCUAUUUACAUUCAGGUCCGAGUAUCGUAAUAUAUUGAUAUUCGUGUUACGUUACACGCUUAAUUGGACCUCGAGAACGCGCCAGAUAAUGUAUAAACGACGGUAAUCCAAUGAAGCGCAGCAAAAUGCAUGACGUAAUUAUUACAUGCAAUUUGAAAAUCUCCAUUCAAACGUUUCAAUUUUCGUGCGACGAAUUAGCUUAGUUUCUCCAUCUGCGACGAUUACCAGACAACGUUUUAAAUUGUCUAUUCACGUCGUAAGAUCGACCGUUCAUCUGAUUGCUCUGACUUCUCUAAUGUUUACGUCGCAUCUGUUUGAAGAAAUUCGCAUGCCUAUAAAAUAGACUCCAUUUAUAUUACCGAUUCUUUCUUAUAGGUUUCUCCAUGUGCAAAAUUAUUGUCAGGGGUGAGUAAGUAUCCUUCAGCACCAAACCUUUCCCCUCAAAAGCCUGUUUCUCCGGUCAACGACAAAUCCGCGACUUCUAUCGAGUCGGUUUGGUUCAACGGUAAUUCGAGGAGUCCGAUUCGUUCGGUCAAGUCGAUGAUACUGCGUGAAAAGUUAAGCGAAACGGCUCUUUGCAAUGACUUGUACAUUCUUUUCAACGUUAUUCUAAUUGUUCUAACGUCCGGUUACUGCGCGAUCGCCUUUCCCCGGUGUGCCGUUUGUCGCAUCUUCCCUCGAUAAUUGUGUAAUCGACCGGGAACUAAGUGAUAGACCAAAGCCAUUGCUGAUCCGGAUAUUCCAGGGUUCGCUUUCAGAAAAUAACGUAUUCGCACCGAGGAGGGCUCCGCGCCUCUCUCGAAUCGUAUCUCACCGUGGAGACCACCGGAGGAUAUGUAAGCGGCGAGCCUAAUCGAACUCGCGAUAGUCCCUGCACAGAACGUCCUACUGUAUUCAAUAAUUCUUCAAUUAAGGUUUCUGGAUACUCGCUAUGGCUGUCCUUCUUUGAUGACGUCAGAAGCGAGGAAAAUCAUGUAUAAUUAAAAUUAAUAUUUCUCGAUUAUUAUUCUCGCAUAUAUUAUAUUUUUAUCUGGACAUUUGGAUGUUUCAUGAUUUGGUUAAAACCAAUUCACAUAUCAGAUUAACUUUUGUUGUUUCUAAAUAAUUCGACAUGGUUAACUUUCAUUUUUUGUUGCAUUUCCAAAGAUGCUGUACAAUGUAUUUACAGGGGUACUGGAAGAGGAAAAGGCUCAAUUUUUUAUAUCAACUUAUUCUAAUAUCUACUAAUACAUAGGAAAUUAAGCAAAUUGUUUGACCUUGUUUAGUGUUUAUACUUUUUAUUGCAUUUUAGUAGAGAGAAAUUUAAAAGAGAAAUUCUUGCUUGUUAUAUUUUUCCUUCAGUAUUUUGGCACAAUCUUUCGAUAGACCUCGAAAAUUGCGAAUUAUCAUUUCAUUGUAUUUUUCAGUCUUCAUUGUUUACAAUGAUUAUCACACUCGCUCAAGUGUCAAGUCGAUAAAAUACGGUACAACAGCCUCAAAUCAGAUCGUUAGAUGGUGGUAGUAAUGCGAGAUCGUGGAAAAAAAAGUCGCGGCAGCACUUCGAGCAAAUUUUGAUUGCGUUCCAUUUGUCAAUCGUAUUAUAUGUAUAGCUUCAAAAAAUGCAUCUUCUUAUAUUUAUAGAAAAAAUAUUGUCUAACAGCAGUAGUAUCAUACUUUAUGAUUUCUUAUUAUAAAUAUUUUACAUAUACAAAGUUUUCUCUAGUUUUCAUGGCAAAGUCACUUUCCUAAAAUUUUACUAUCGAUAAUAUACAUUAUUAAUUACUUGUUUAUGUAAAUGUUGUUCUAUACUAUAUAAGACAUAAACCUCAAUUUUUUGCGUUUUCUCGUUUUUGACGUCAUUAAAUUUAAAAGGACAGUCAGCGAUUACUCCAGAGCCUUAAAAUACUUUCUGUUAUUAAGUACUUAACAACGGUGAAAAGAAAAGAAUUACAUACCUUUUAAAUGUCUGUUGCUGGCUGCUCACCGAGACACGUACGAAAUUAAUUGAUAUAACAAUUAAUAGGUAAAUCUUACAUAUAGAGAAAUACUUUUAUAUUUGCUUCACUUUUUAUUCUCCUCAAUAAUAUAAAAUUACAUACGUUAAUAACACGAGAUGAAUAUGUUACAAUAUUUCACAACGUAACGCGUGUUCAACGCGAUUAUGGGUUACGAUUUGGAAGCUGUUGGGAGAGACAUUGUCUUGCUCUCGUUUAAACGCGUAAUUCCAUCAAGUCGGUGACGAUCCCGAUGACGAUAGCGAGCGAAAGUAUAUCUGUACAACGAGACGCAUUUUGAUUUCGUAACAGUUGACCACUGUGCAAAGACAGAAUUGCUAGAAUUCGACUGUCUCAGCGGAGACUCGAUUUCGCGUUAUUCGCUUCCGCGUAAGAUUCGAAGACUUGAAAGCUUGAAAUACGAACGAGAAGAAAGAAGAAAUUUGAAGCUGGCGGCAGAAAGAGAAAAAAGAAAACCAGUUGCGCACAUUUUGUCGCCUGACCGGUGUAAAUUAGAUAUACCUGCAUAAAUAAUAGUACGGAGAAACUAUAUUACAAAAAUAUACAGCGUCGCUGAUUCGACGCCACCUGCAUCCACAUU